AUUGAACGCUGUCGGCAGGCCUAACACAUGCACGUCUAACGAGUGGCGGACGGGUGAGUAAUGUCUGGGAAACUGCCCGAUGGAGGGGGAUAACUACUGGAAACGGUAGCUACUACCGCAUACCAUCGGAUGUGCCCAGAUGGGCUUAGCUAGUAGGUGGGGUAACGGCUCACCUAGGCGACUAUCCCUAGCUGUUCUGAGAGGAUGACAAGCCACACUGGAACUGAGACACGGGCCAGACUCCUACGGGAGGCAGCAGUGGGGAAGAUUGCACAAUGGGCGCAAGACUGAUGCAGCCAUGCCGCGUGUAUGAAGAAGGCCUUCGGGUUGUAAAGUACUUUCAGCGAGGAGGCGUUACUCGCAGAAGAAGCAUCGGCUAACGCCGUGCCAGCCGCCGCGGUAAUUC
RNAcentral lists this ribosomal RNA (406 nucleotides) under uncultured bacterium. RNAcentral's name for it is "partial 16S ribosomal RNA". It matches the Rfam family "Bacterial small subunit ribosomal RNA", at positions 30 to 526 of the family's 1533-position model. The record is from RNAcentral.